GAACGCACAUUGCGCCCGCCAGUAUUCUGGCGGGCAUGCCUGUUCGAGCGUCAUUUCAACCCUCAAGCCCCCGGGCUUGGUGUUGGAGAUCGGCGUGCCCCCCCGGGGCGCGCCGGCUCCCAAAUAUAGUGGCGGUCUCGCUGUAGCUUCCUCUGCGUAGUAGCACACCUCGCACUGGAAAACAGCGUGGCCACGCCGUUAAACCCCCCACUUCUGAAAGGUUGACCUCGGAUCAGGUAGGAAUACCCGCUGAACUUAAG
This 260-nucleotide unclassified non-coding RNA is filed under the name Ilyonectria mors-panacis. Its description in RNAcentral is "sequence contains 5.8S rRNA gene". The stretch from base 1 to 53 matches the Rfam family "5.8S ribosomal RNA", at positions 102 to 154 of the family's 154-position model. Lineage: Eukaryota; Fungi; Ascomycota; Sordariomycetes; Hypocreales; Nectriaceae. The record is from RNAcentral.